GAUGUAAUAUUUGCUCAGCAAAUACACAGAUGUUUAUUUUCAGAUUAAGAAAAUUAGCAAGUCAAUCCAAACCUGGAAUUUUUCAGAUAAGAGAGCAACUUUCUAAACAGAAUUCUUGGGUAAUAUUUUGUAAUAUUAAGAAAAGAAUUCAAUUCGUGGAUAUGCAUUAAACUUAAAUAAAAUAAAAUAAAGUUAGCUAUAAUAAAACUAUCUACAUUGAAAGUCAGAACUCUUCCCCACAGCCAGUGUGGAAUUGUCUGAGCCAGACAUAAUGGCUAAGGCCUAUAAUCCAGAAAUUCAGUAGGCAAUGAUCAGAGGGAUGGGAAGUCAAGCCUUGCCUAGAAAAAGAGUUAUCAAGAUCCUCUAGCUUAACCAAUAUCUGGAUGUAGUGAUACAUAACUGUACUCUCAGCUACAC
Long non-coding RNA from Perognathus longimembris pacificus (Pacific pocket mouse), 417 nucleotides. RefSeq lists it as uncharacterized. The record is from RefSeq and is a predicted model, not a curated record. NCBI's taxonomy places the organism in Eukaryota, Metazoa, Chordata, Mammalia, Rodentia, Heteromyidae. The transcript is spliced from 2 exons.